GAUGAACGCUGGCGGCGUGCCUAAUACAUGCAAGUCGAGCGAACAGACGAGGAGCUUGCUCCUCUGACGUUAGCGGCGGACGGGUGAGUAACACGUGGAUAACCUACCUAUAAGACUGGGAUAACUUCGGGAAACCGGAGCUAAUACCGGAUAAUAUGUUGAACCGCAUGGUUCAAUAGUGAAAGACGGUCUUGCUGUCACUUAUAGAUGGAUCCGCGCCGCAUUAGCUAGUUGGUAAGGUAACGGCUUACCAAGGCAACGAUGCGUAGCCGACCUGAGAGGGUGAUCGGCCACACUGGAACUGAGACACGGUCCAGACUCCUACGGGAGGCAGCAGUAGGGAAUCUUCCGCAAUGGGCGAAAUCCUGACGGAGCAACGCCGCGUGAGUGAAGAAGGUCUUCGGAUCGUAAAACUCUGUUAUUAGGGAAGAACAAAUGUGUAAGUAACUAUGCACGUCUUGACGGUACCUAAUCAGAAAGCCACGGCUAACUACGUG
This 497-nucleotide ribosomal RNA is filed under the name uncultured bacterium. RNAcentral describes it as "partial 16S ribosomal RNA". It matches the Rfam family "Bacterial small subunit ribosomal RNA", at positions 28 to 507 of the family's 1533-position model. The record is from RNAcentral.